UCUUGGUCAUUUAGAGGAAGUAAAAGUCGUAACAAGGUUUCCGUAGGUGAACCUGCGGAAGGAUCAUUACCGAGUGAGCGCCUUCUAGGCGCGACCUCCAACCCUUUGUGAAUCAACCAUGUUGCCUCGGGGUGGCCCGGGUGUUUUCGUUAAGAUUUGGGCGCCCCGGUGGACCAUUCGUUAAAACUCUGCAUCUUUGCGUCGGAUAAUAAAGUUUAAUUGAUUAAAACUUUCAACAACGGAUCUCUUGGUUCUGGCAUCGAUGAAGAACGCAGCGAAAUGCGAUAAGUAAUGUGAAUUGUAGAAUUCAGUGAAUCAUCGAGUUUUUGAACGCACACUGCGCCCCUUGGUAUUCCGGGGGGCAUGCCCGUUCGAGCGUCAUUACACCAAUCAAGCCUGGCUUGGUAUUGGGCCACGGGGGUGACCCGGGCCUCGAAAUCGUCGGCUGGAAAGCUCCAAUCUCAGCGUCGUGAUUAAUCAAAUCGCUUUGAGGGGGGUGACCCGUGCCGUUAAAUCUCAUCAAAGGUUGACCUCGGAUCGGGUAGGAAUACCCGCUGAACUUAAGCAUAUCAAUAAGCGGAGGA
RNAcentral lists this ribosomal RNA (584 nucleotides) under uncultured Ascomycota. Its description in RNAcentral is "eukaryotic LSU rRNA". The stretch from base 228 to 381 matches the Rfam family "5.8S ribosomal RNA". The record is from RNAcentral. Lineage: Eukaryota; Fungi; Ascomycota.